UUUAUUGUUUAAGUAUUAAAAUAAGGUAUAUUUGAUAGUUUUUAUUUUGAUACAGGAUAAUUGUGUUGGGGUGAUUGAAAAAAUUUAUUAACUUUUUUUUAUUUUAUUCAUAUAUAAAUGAAUGGUUGAUCCAAGGAAUUUUGAUUAUAAGAUUAAGUUACCUUAGGGAUAACAGCGUUAUUUUUCUUUAGAGUUCUUAUCGAAAGAAAAGUUUGCGACCUCGAUGUUGGAUUAAAAUUGGUUAUGGGUGGAGAGAUUUGUUAACUAAGUCUGUUCGACUUAUAAAUUUUU
This 291-nucleotide ribosomal RNA is filed under the name Peritropis sulawesica. RNAcentral describes it as "partial 16S ribosomal RNA". The stretch from base 168 to 291 matches the Rfam family "Bacterial large subunit ribosomal RNA", at positions 2473 to 2597 of the family's 2925-position model. Lineage: Eukaryota; Metazoa; Arthropoda; Insecta; Hemiptera; Miridae. The record is from RNAcentral.